Molecule: ribosomal RNA, 855 nt
Filed under: uncultured bacterium
Lineage: Bacteria
Description: bacterial SSU rRNA
Rfam family: Bacterial small subunit ribosomal RNA
Source: RNAcentral
AGAGUUUGAUCAUGGCUCAGAUUGAACGCUGGCGGCAUGCCUUACACAUGCAAGUCGAACGGUAACAGGUCUUCUGAUGCUGUCAAGUGUGGAACGGGUGAGUAAUACAUCUCAACGUGCCCCCUAAUGGGGGAUAUCUCUCCGAAAGCCGGAUUAAUACCCCAUACGCCCUGAGGGGGAAAGUGGGGGACCGCACGGCCUCUCGUUAUUGUAGCGGCCGAUGGCUGAUUAUCUAGUUGGUAGGGUAAAGGCCUACCCCGGCGACAAUCUCUAUCUGGUCUGAGAGGACAAUCUCCCACACUGUGACUGAGACACGGCCCCCACUCCUACAGGAGGCACCACUGGGGAAUUUUGUACAAUGUGGGAAACCCUGAUCUACCAAUGUCCCGUGUGCGAAAAAAGCCUUCUCGUUGUGAAGCACUUUUGUCUCGGAAGAAAUCCUUUGUGCUAUUACCCUAUGGGGAUAACAGUACCUGUGGAAUAUGCACCGGCUAUCUACAUGUCACCAGCCGCGGUAAUACGUAUGGUGCGAGCGUUUAUCUCAAUUACUGUGCGUAUAGCGUGCGCACGCGGUUGUGUAAGACACGUGUGAAAUCUCCGGGCUUUACCUGUGAAUUGCGUUUGUGACUGCGCGACUAUAGUGUGUCUCAGAGGGGUGUAAUUCCCGUGUAUCACUGAGAUGCGUAUAUAUGUGUAGGACACCAUGUCGAAGCGCCCCCUGUGAUACACUGACCUCUGCGCGAAACGUGGGAGACACACGAUAUAUACCUGGAGUCCCGCCUAACGAGUCACUAUUGUUGGGAUUACUUCUUGGGACGUGCUACACGUGAGUUACACCUGGGAGACAGCGCAGGU